This 676-nucleotide long non-coding RNA is filed under the name Manihot esculenta (cassava). RNAcentral describes it as "long non-coding RNA (MESC_LNC008218)". Lineage: Eukaryota; Viridiplantae; Streptophyta; Magnoliopsida; Malpighiales; Euphorbiaceae. The record is from RNAcentral.
AAACAUCAACCAAACUCAACCUGUGCAUAAAUAUAAACAUAACUUUGAUCCCUCUGUGGGAUCUCAUCUGUGCCCUCAAAGGGUAACAUAACCUGUGUUGAGCUGGUUUACAUAAACAUCAUCAAAAUCUCUAAGAUCAUGUAUAAAAAGGGAUACAACAUUCUAUGGUCAAGCACACACUAACAUCCAUAAAACUCAUUACAUAACUAUACUGUACUUUUACAUUACAAUCCGAUCAUGUCCAUUGCUAGCUAUUACAUAAACAUGACUUCUUUACUCUAUCCGGACUCCCGCACUAUACUGUACCUGCAAGCCUGGGGGUAAAGGGAGAGGGGUGAGCUAAAAGCCCAGUGAGCUGAACUAUUAAAACACUUUAAUACUAUGCUCUAUGAAAUGCAUCAUAACACAAACAAUUCACAUAAGGGUUGGGUGAACUUGUCACCAAUUAGUCCAAGUUAACUCUGUGCCAGGCCUGUAGAAUGGGGUCCUGGUCUUUCCUGUCAGAACAUACAUUACUUACCAUUUUCCCAGGGCCUCCUCUGGCUCCUGGUCUUCAAGUCCCAUAGCCGUACUAGACCAUAGGAUGGGAUCCUGGUCUUUCCUUACUCUGUGCCAGGCCUGUAGACUGGGGCCUGGUCUUUCUUACUCUGUGCCAGGCCUGUAGCAUGGGGCCUGG